This 755-nucleotide long non-coding RNA is filed under the name Mytilus galloprovincialis (Mediterranean mussel). Lineage: Eukaryota; Metazoa; Mollusca; Bivalvia; Mytilida; Mytilidae. The record is from RNAcentral.
CUAAAGUAUUUUAUCACAUUUGACUAAUUCUGUCUUUAUAUGUUUAUUUGUUUUCCUUUUUGUUAACAUUUUUUCAGAAUAGUUUCGGGAAAAAAAUACACGGUCAGAUGAGACAUAUACUAGUUCUUAGAAUUUAGGGAAUCUCAAGAAAGAACAGCUAACCAUACUUCUGAUAUAUCAAGACCAGUAAAGGACUAGAGGUCGAGAAGGUUAAAUCGAAAGUGUGAUACCAUGCAUCUAAGCGUGAUAUUCUAUUCGGAAUAAGUUCUCAUAGCAGUAUAAUGAUAAAUCCGAACGUAAAGGAAUAUUACAAUUUAAUAUCACCUAUUAUGGACACGAAGACUAAUACAAACAUUAAAUUAAUGUAUUAUAGUAUAUGUAAUGUAUAAUUUGAGAAAUCUUAUCGUGUAUGUUUAUUACAAGUAUCAGAUGAUUUAAACCAGAUUUUGACUUAAUUCAAUUAUUUGCUGAAGUUGUUCACAGUAAAAGGUGAGGACAGUUUCUAUACUUAUAAAAAUCUAUAGAACACAUUCUCCAUCGUAAUGUGCAUUCUCGUUUGCUGUCUUAAGGAUUCAAUAUACGUGUUUUAAUGGCGUGCACUUGUCGCCGUUAUAGACAAAUAAUCGAACGCACGUUUGCUUCGUUUGAUAUAAUAAUUGCCGUAACAAUUACGGGCAAGUGGAAUACGGACUGAAAAUUUGUAGCAACAGACACAGUGAAGUGUUAUAGCAACGUUUAGUAUCGGAGAACACUUG